RNAcentral lists this ribosomal RNA (404 nucleotides) under uncultured bacterium. Its description in RNAcentral is "bacterial SSU rRNA". It matches the Rfam family "Bacterial small subunit ribosomal RNA", at positions 355 to 776 of the family's 1533-position model. The record is from RNAcentral.
UGGGGAAUCUUGGACAAUGGGGGCAACCCUGAUCCAGCCAUGCCGCGUGAGUGAUGAAGGCCUUAGGGUCGUAAAGCUCUUUCGCCAGGGAUGAUAAUGACAGUACCUGGUAAAGAAACCCCGGCUAACUCCGUGCCAGCAGCCGCGGUAAUACGGAGGGGGUUAGCGUUGUUCGGAAUUACUGGGCGUAAAGCGCGCGUAGGCGGAUUAGUCAGUUAGAGGUGAAAUCCCGGGGCUCAACCCCGGAACUGCCUUUAAUACUGCUAGUCUUGAGUUCGAGAGAGGUGAGUGGAAUUCCGAGUGUAGAGGUGAAAUUCGUAGAUAUUCGGAGGAACACCAGUGGCGAAGGCGGCUCACUGGCUCGAUACUGACGCUGAGGUGCGAAAGUGUGGGGAGCAAACAGG